CCUACGGGAGGCAGCAGUGGGGAAUAUUGCACAAUGGGGGGAACCCUGAUGCAGCGACGCCGCGUGGGUGAAGGAGUAUUUCGGUAUGUAAAGCCCUAUCAGCAGGGAAGAACAAUGACGGUACCUGACUAAGAAGCACCGGCUAAAUACGUGCCAGCAGCCGCGGUAAUACGUAUGGUGCAAGCGUUAUCCGGAUUUACUGGGUGUAAAGGGAGCGCAGGCGGCGCGUUAAGCCUGGUGUGAAAGCCCGGGGCGCAACCCCGGGACUGCUCUUGGAACUGCGCGGCUGGAGUGCAGGAGGGGCAGGCGGAAUUCCUGGUGUAGCGGUGAAAUGCGUAGAUAUCAGGAGGAACACCGGUGGCGAAGGCGGCCUGCUGGACUGCGACUGACGUUGAGGCCCGAAAGCGUGGGGAGCAAACAGGAUUAGAUACCCGGGUAGUC
Molecule: ribosomal RNA, 441 nt
Filed under: uncultured bacterium
Lineage: Bacteria
Description: partial 16S ribosomal RNA
Rfam family: Bacterial small subunit ribosomal RNA
Source: RNAcentral